This 405-nucleotide ribosomal RNA is filed under the name uncultured bacterium. RNAcentral's name for it is "partial 16S ribosomal RNA". It matches the Rfam family "Bacterial small subunit ribosomal RNA", at positions 30 to 525 of the family's 1533-position model. The record is from RNAcentral.
AUUGAACGCUGGCGGCAGGCCUAACACAUGCAAGUCGAACGAGUGGCGGACGGGUGAGUAAUGUCUGGGAAACUGCCUGAUGGAGGGGGAUAACUACUGGAAACGGUAGCUAAUACCGCAUACCAUCGGAUGUGCCCAGAUGGGAUUAGCUAGCAGGUGGGGUAACGGCUCACCUAGGCGACGAUCCCUAGCUGGUCUGAGAGGAUGACCAGCCACACUGGAACUGAGUCACGUUCCAGACUCCUACGCGGGGCAGCAGUGGGGAAUAUUGCACAGUGGGCGCAAGCCUGAUGCAGGCAUGCCGCGUGUAUGAAGAGGGCCUUCGGGGUGUAAAGUACUUUCAGCGUGGAGGCGUUACCCGCAGAAGAAGCGCCGGCUAACUCCGUGCCAGCAGCCGCGGUAAUU